CUACGGGACGCUGCAGUGGGGAAUAUUGGACAAUGGGGGAAACCCUGAUCCAGCAAUGCCGCGUGUGUGAAGAAGGCCUGCGGGUUGUAAAGCACUUUCGGUUGGGAGGACUGCUUCUAGCACUAAUAUUGUUGGAAGUUGACGUUACCUUCAGAAGAAGCACCGGCUAGCUCCGUGCCAGCAGCCGCGGCAAUACGGAGGGUGCAAGCGUUAAUCGGAAUUACUGGGCGUAAAGCGCGCGUAGGCGGCUAGAUCAGUCGGGUGUGAAAGCCCCGGGCUUAACCUGGGAACUGCAUCCGAUACUGUCUAGCUUGAGUACAGGAGAGGAGAGUGGAAUUCCACAUGUAGCGGUGAAAUGCGUAGAUAUGUGGAGGAACACCAAUGGCGAAGGCAGCUCUCUGGCCUGAUACUGACGCUGAGGUGCGAAAGCGUGGGGAGCAAACAGGAUUAGAUACCCGAGUAGUC
This 465-nucleotide ribosomal RNA is filed under the name uncultured bacterium. RNAcentral's name for it is "partial 16S ribosomal RNA". It matches the Rfam family "Bacterial small subunit ribosomal RNA", at positions 339 to 795 of the family's 1533-position model. The record is from RNAcentral.